Molecule: ribosomal RNA, 460 nt
Filed under: uncultured bacterium
Lineage: Bacteria
Description: bacterial SSU rRNA
Rfam family: Bacterial small subunit ribosomal RNA
Source: RNAcentral
GACCUCGCACAAGCGGUGGAUCAUGUUGUUUAAUUCGAGGAUACGCGAAGAACCUUACCAGGCCUUGACAUCCCUUGCGAAGCUAUAGAGAUAUAGUAGAGGUUAUCAAGGAGACAGGUGGUGCAUGGUUGUCGUCAGCUCGUGUCGUGAGAUGUUGGGUUAAGUCCCGCAACGAGCGCAACUCUUAUCGUUAUUUGCCAUCAUUAAGUUGGGCACUAUAACGAGACUGCCAGUGAUAAAUUGGAGGAAGGUGGGAAUGACGUCAAAUCAUCAUGCCCCUUAUGGCCUGGGCUACAAACGUGAUACAAUGGUUGGAACAAAGGGAGGCAAAGCUGUGAAGCCAAGCGAACCCCAUAAAAACAAUCUCAGUUCGGAUUGAAGUCUGCAACUCGACUUCAUGAAGUCGGAAUCGCUAGUAAUCGUAGAUCAGAACGCUACGGUGAAUACGUUCUCGAGGUUU